GGAAAUCAAGAAACCCCCGAUCGACAGAUUUUUCCACAGCUCGGACACUGACAUUGCAGCUUCAAACAUGGACUUAUCUGUAGCUGAGAACUGAUCAAGAAUCCAGAAAUUGUUAUGCAAAAGAAGAAGGAAGUAGGAAUAACAGGGUUGUGGAGCUAGAAGACCUGGGUUUGGAUCCUAGUUUUGUUUCUUCCCACCCACUGACCUUAGGCAAAACAGUUAUAUUUGUUGAGUCUUGAUGUCGAAGGCCAACUAAGGCCACUGGCCAACGGUGAGUUGUUAUGCAGCAAUUACUAUUAUUACUGUGCCAGUCAGCACCUCUGGUAGUAAGUUGUCAUGAGCACAUCAUAUUCUCAGAUAUCUUUGUGGGUGCUAAAAAGUGGUUUAUUACAGAUAAAUGAUUUGCUCAUUAAUUAGUUCAUUUAUUCAUCGAACAAAUGUUACGUGCCGGCUCUCUGACUAUUCUAGAUGCUAUGACACAGCAACCAGCAAAGCCCCGGCUCUUAUGGAUAUCAUAUUCCACUGAGAGGGAACAGACAAUAAACGCGGAGGCCACGACCCUCUGGAUUUUGAGACCUCAGUUUCCCCACCUGCUGAGCAAGGGCUUCCAUCUCUGGGCUGCAGUGAGGAUGGACAGAGUGGACAUAAACAGGCUCCUCUCCACAUGCUGCUCUCUGCCCCGGUCCUUAUCCUGCUGGGAUGUGCACCUGAGACUCGCCUGCCUGCAGCCACCAGUGGGGAGCCAAGAUCCUGCAUCCCACAGGGACAGGAGUGUGCCCACAGCAUCUGGCCAUCCUAGAGAAUGUUUCUUCACCUACACCAGUGGCAGGAGACAAAGCAACUCUGAGAGACUUCUAGCAGACAACAUGAUGAAAGCUACUGAUUGCUGAAUGCUUAUUAUGCGUAACCUCAUUCAUUCUUCCUAAUGUCCCUAUGAGGAGGGUGCUAUUAAUAUCUCUGACUGGCAUGUGAGGCACAGAAAACACAGAGAUGAAGUGAGUCACCAGGGCCACCUAGCCCUGGAGGGUGCAGAUGGAUCACCUUUACUAGGCUUUGCUGCAGGACCUGUGUGGGUAUCUACACGUCAGUGGGUGAUUUCCAAGGGGAAUUCUCUCAAAAUCCAAAGAAACAAUCAUAAAAUUACAGAUCUCCAGGAUCCACACCUGCAGAUUUUAAUCCAGCAACCUGUGGGAGGGUUGGGGGCUGAAGGCGGGAUUGCUGCAAGCACUGGGGGGAUGCUGCAGGACCAACAUCUGGGGAGGCACGCUCACACGCAGCCCCUGCCCCCAGCGUGCUUGGCGGAGAGUGCUCGUUGAUCACAGUGCUCCUUCCUACUAGGCCAACUUGGCCUCAGAAACCUCAGGCAGGCAGUGUCCAUCAAUCAGUUGGAGGUGGCUUCGACACAAGACCAAUUUGUCAUCCUCAGGCUGAAGAUGUUAAGCUUCAUCACAGGCCACUAAUUCAACGCAGAAGGAGACUUAUGGGUACUUUUCUGCCUCAAGUUUCAUUCCACUGUGUCAUAGGGAGGGAUGAUCAUUGAACUUUUCAUUUUUAGCUGGCAGAGUGUGGAAGCUUAUCUCUAAAUUAUCCUAUUAGUUAAGGUAAUGCUAUUUGCUGUAAUGUUUUGUAACACUGAACUGUCAGGGAAACUGUUCUGUGCUUAAUUUGUUUUUUUUUUUUUUAGGCACUCAAAUGAUCUGCUCCCACCUCAUGAAUCAGAUCUGCUUAUACAUGUUGGACCAAUUAGUUAGCAUGAUUCCAGACACCAAAGCAAUCAGGUUUUGUCAGUGGCAGGACCUGGGAAAGGGGUUCUGUUCUGCCCAGGUCCAGGCUGACAGAGUCUCUGCUAUCCUUGAUGUGUGUCUUCUAAGAUCUCCAUGAGUGUUGACAGGAGCAGACAGUGGGGACAGUGGAAGACAGUGAAGGUCUGCCCAGGAAGUUUAAUAGGUCACCGGUAGAAGGCACCUUGGCCAGCACACACGCCAUUGGCCAGAGCUCAGUCACAUGGCUGCACUCGGCUGCACAGAGACUGGGAACCGGCCUGGCUGGCGCAGGAGGCCUUGGUAAACAGCCAGCAGGGUUAGUUCCCUUUGAGCUGGGGGGAGCUGUGGGCGUACUAGAGACAGAGCGUUUGAGCACCACAGAACCCAAAGCAGGUUGACAUAUGAUCUUGGAACUCCUAAGUUCCCACAAAUCAAAACACAUUCAUUUUUUACACAUAAAAUAGCUUUUGAAGCACAAAAAAUAAAUACUUUUGUAUUUCACCUUCAUUUUAACAGUCUUUUAUAAUUUUUUGUAGUUCUGGGAUUCUCUUCAUAUUUUAACAAUCUCAUAAAUUUUUUGGAGCUCUUUGCAUUUCUGACAGUAGUGAGACCUGUCUGACCUACUGCAUGGUUUUGUUCUUUUGCUGUUUGUCUCCUAAGCAGCUGUCAGACUCUAAGGGAAAUCUGCUCUGCCUUCUCUCCAUUCUGAAAUAAAGACUGGAGGGAUAAAUGAAAGUUUCUGGACACUGAGCAGAAAUAUUGAUGUGGGUCCUUUUUCUUGGAGGUAGAUGUCCCUAGCAGAGAAAGGGACAGCUUUUGGUGGGGGUGACUGUACACUGAGCCUCCUUAUGUCUCCUUGCCCCCAUCACACAGAGAGUAGUAGGCCAACUUUGCAGGGUGUAGUGCAGUGCUGGGGAAACGGUUCCUGAUGCUCACUCAGCAAGCAUUAAGACUGGUCGGUGCUGUUAUUCUGACUGUUAAUGCCAAAGUCACAAGUCACUGCUGAAGCUCAGACAGGACUGGGGUUGUGUGGGAAAGCUUUGUACCUCAGAUAAAAAUCCAUAUGUUUAAGCUCAGAAUGAACAUGUGCCUCAGCGUGCUCACCUUCUAGCCCAUCCACUGAAGCUCUCCAGAGGGGCGCUCCCAGGGUUAUGCUUGAAACAAACCCUACAUGCUCACCAGCUUUCACUGUGGAGUGACUCAGUUUCCCCACUGAUAAAAGGCGGUACAACUACAGUUCUAAACUUGCCUGUAAAACACAUUGAGUGCCUUGAAAUAAAGGUGGCAUUUAGUGUGAGUUCAAAGCGUUAUGUAAUUAUUUUAUGGCCCCUUUUAUUCC
This 3102-nucleotide long non-coding RNA is filed under the name Chinchilla lanigera (long-tailed chinchilla). Its description in RNAcentral is "lncRNA (ENSCLAG00000026028.1)". Lineage: Eukaryota; Metazoa; Chordata; Mammalia; Rodentia; Chinchillidae. The record is from RNAcentral.